Non-coding RNA from Pelobates cultripes (western spadefoot toad), 286 nucleotides. The record is from the annotation of a GenBank genome assembly. NCBI's taxonomy places the organism in Eukaryota, Metazoa, Chordata, Amphibia, Anura, Pelobatidae.
ACUAUUUAGCACCAAAAAAAACUUAAAAAAAACAACUGACUUUUCAAACCUCAAUGUAAGCAGCAGAUUAGUAGCAAACCAAUUAGAAUGUUUACAACUGCGCAGUAAGCGCACUAUUUGACACUUCGAUUGGACUCACAAAAAUGAAGUGCACCCCACUAAAAUACUAUUUAGCAGUUUAGCACCCAAAUAAUUUUAAGUUUUAAAACUGCAAUGUGACAGCAGUAUUUGACGCUUCUAUUUGACUCUCAGAUAUGAAGUGCAUCCCACUAAUGUACUAUCCCAC